RNAcentral lists this ribosomal RNA (433 nucleotides) under uncultured bacterium. Its description in RNAcentral is "partial 16S ribosomal RNA". It matches the Rfam family "Bacterial small subunit ribosomal RNA", at positions 29 to 507 of the family's 1533-position model. The record is from RNAcentral.
AACGAACGCUGGCGGCAUGCCUAACACAUGCAAGUCGAACGAGACCUUCGGGAGUAGUGGCGCACAGGUGCGUAACGCGGGGGAAGCUGCCGUAAGGCUCGGAAUAACUCUCCGACGGGGGUGCUAAUGCAGGGUAAUGUCUUCUAACCAAACAUAUAUCGCCUUUGGUUGGGCAGGCGUUGGUCUAGCUAGUUGGUAGCGGAAAAGCCGACGACGGCGACGCUCGAUAGCGGGUCAGUGAGAAUGGGCAGCCACACUGGGACUGAGACACGGUCCGGACUCCUGCGGGAGGCAGGAGUGGGUGAUACUGCCCUACGGCGUGGAUCAUGAUGCAGUUAUGCCUCGUGAGUGAUUAAGUUCUUAAGGUUGUAAAGCACUUUUACCCGGGAUUAUAAUGACGGUACCGAGAGAAUAAGCUCCGGCUAACUCCGUG